RNAcentral lists this long non-coding RNA (876 nucleotides) under Salvia miltiorrhiza (redroot sage). RNAcentral's name for it is "long non-coding RNA (SMIL_LNC006641)". The record is from RNAcentral. Lineage: Eukaryota; Viridiplantae; Streptophyta; Magnoliopsida; Lamiales; Lamiaceae.
UCCACUCAUUACAAUACCGCGUACCUGUCUUAUUUUUUACUAAAACAUUAUUCAUGUCAAUCUAAUAGUUUUCCCAUACCAAUUUAUUCCAAACAUGAAAAUCCAACAAUUUCAUUUCAUAAUCAAUGUGUAAAUUCUCAAGGGCACUUAGACUUUUUCCUGCAGCAGCUCCGGCAAGCUCGACGGCACUCGGCUCUCCGCCUCGACUUAUUGCGACAUUUUCUUUUGCAUUUUUUUAAGCAAUCUGCAACACAUGCAGUAUAAAAUUAGAAAUGUUUGUUUCAAAUCGACAAGGAUCAAUAUUCAAAAGAUGAUUUCAUUAGUUACCACGAUUUGGAGGUCUAUAUUUGUUGAUAUGACUGAUCGAAUCCCCUUUUGCAUCCUCCUAAAAAAGUUUGUGAAAAAACAAAAAAUAGAUAUUUUGAUAUAUCCAAAGCAACAUGCAUUAAUUAAACGAAAUAUUCGAAGAUGAUUUACUGCUUGGGACAGAAAUUUAUCUGUAGCUCCAUUGACUGAUUCUGCCUCAACGAAAUCCUGAAAAAGAAAAAAAAAAUGAAAAAUAAACAAACUUAGCAAACUAUAUAUAGUUUCUAACCAUACUUGAUUUAAUUUGUUUUCAAAAUUCUUGUCAUUUUUUUAUUAAUUCAGACAACUAUAUGAGAGGCAAUCGAAACGGGCUCGACGCUAACAAUAUUGAUGGGAGCAUUUCUUGUCAAAUUAACCUGUAUGAGUAGAAGGGAGAUCAGCAAAAUUGGCAGUAGCUUCAUCUCAGAAACACGAAUUUACAACAGAACUUAAAAAGAAUUUUUUGUUUUUAGCUUGUGAGAGAAUACAUACAUACAUAUAUACCUAUUUAUAGACAUCUAGCUAGUUCUG